Molecule: long non-coding RNA, 344 nt
Filed under: Elaeis guineensis (African oil palm)
Lineage: Eukaryota; Viridiplantae; Streptophyta; Magnoliopsida; Arecales; Arecaceae
Description: long non-coding RNA (EGUI_LNC041195)
Source: RNAcentral
AGGCUAUCUCAAUAACUUGCAAGCAACUCACUGUGCUUUGAUGCCGAACUAUCUAAAUUUUUCAUUCGAUGAUAGAAGAUUAUUGGGUACAGUCAAGUACUUAUGAAGUCUGAGUGCGAGUCAAGAUGAAAUUGAUCGUUCCAAGUAAAAUUAGAGAUGAUGCAUCACUGUAUUUUAAUUCAGUAAAAUUUUGGCCAAAGUAGUCCUAGUGAAGAGUCACAGGAUUUUUGAGGUGGAGACACAAUGUGGAUCAAUCAUUCUGGGUGGACAGUUUAACCCUUAGUCAUCCUUGAGCAUCAAGUAUCAAAGAGAUGAAUUAUAUAGUAAUUAUAUUCACAUGGGUU